Molecule: ribosomal RNA, 1380 nt
Filed under: metagenome
Description: bacterial LSU rRNA
Rfam family: Bacterial large subunit ribosomal RNA
Source: RNAcentral
UGAGGCGUGAUGACGAGGAACCACGGUUCCGAAGUGAUUGAUACCAAGCUUCCAGGAAAAGCCACUAAGCUUCAGUCUAGAGUUGACCGUACCGCAAACCGACACAGGUGGGCAGGAUGAAAAUUCUAAGGCGCUUGAGAGAACUCAGGAGAAGGAACUCGGCAAAUUAACACCGUAACUUCGGGAGAAGGUGUGCCCCGGUAGCGUGUAGAGACUUGCUCUCGAAGCGCGAUGGGGUUGCAGUGAAAUGGUGGCUGCGACUGUUUAAUAAAAACACAGCACUCUGCAAACACGAAAGUGGACGUAUAGGGUGUGACGCCUGCCCGGUGCCGGAAGGUUAAGUGAUGGGGUGCAAGCUCUUGAUCGAAGCCCCGGUAAACGGCGGCCGUAACAAUAACGGUCCUAAGGUAGCGAAAUUCCUUGUCGGGUAAGUUCCGACCUGCACGAAUGGCGUAACGAUGGCCACACUGUCUCCUCCUGGGACUCAGCGAAGUUGAAAUGUUUGUGAAGAUGCAAUCUACCCGCGGCUAGACGGAAAGACCCCAUGAACCUUUACUGUAGCUUUGCAUUGGACUUUGAACCGGUUUGUGUAGGAUAGGUGGGAGACUGUGAAGCCGGGACGCUAGUUUCGGUGGAGUCAACCUUGAAAUACCACCCUGAUUUGUUUGAGGUUCUAACCUUGGUCCGUGAAUCCGGAUCGGGGACCGUGCAUGGUAGGCAGUUUGACUGGGGCGGUCUCCUCCCAAAAGGUAACGGAGGAGUACGAAGGUACGCUUAGGGCGGUCGGACAUCGCCCACAAAGUGCAAUGGCAAAAGCGUGCUUGACUGCGAGACCCACAAGUCGAGCAGGUACGAAAGUAGGUCAUAGUGAUCCGGUGGUUCUGUAUGGAAGGGCCAUCGCUCAACGGAUAAAAGGUACUCUGGGGAUAACAGGCUAAUUCCUCCCAAGAGUUCAUAUCGACGGGGGAGUUUGGCACCUCGAUGUCGGCUCAUCACAUCCUGGGGCUGUAGUCGGUCCCAAGGGUAUGGCUGUUCGCCAUUUAAAGUGGUACGCGAGCUGGGUUUAAAACGUCGUGAGACAGUUUGGUCCCUAUCUGCCGUGGGCGCUGGAAAUUUGAAGGGGGCUGCUCCUAGUACGAGAGGACCGGAGUGGACGAACCUCUGGUGUACCGGUUAUGACGCCAGUCGUAUCGCCGGGUAGCUAAGUUCGGAAGAGAUAAACGCUGAAAGCAUCUAAGCGUGAAACUCGCCUUAAGAUAAGAUUUCCCGGAGUCUUGAACUCCCUGAAGGGUCGUCGAAGACCACGACGUUGAUAGGUCAGGUGUGGAAGCGCAGCAAUGCGUUAAGCUAACUGAUACUAAUUGCCCGUGCGGCUUGAUC